UACGGAGGGUGCGAGCGUUAAUCGGAAUUACUGGGCGUAAAGGGUGCGUAGGUGGUUUAAUAAGUUAAGUGUGAAAGACCCGGGCUUAACCUGGGAUGGUCAUUUAAGACUGUUAGACUAGAGUAUGGGAGAGGGUAGUGGAAUUUCCGGUGUAGCGGUGAAAUGCGUAGAGAUCGGAAGGAACACCAGUGGCGAAGGCGGCUACCUGGCCUAAUACUGACACUGAGGCACGAAAGCAUGGGGAGCAAACAGG
This 253-nucleotide ribosomal RNA is filed under the name uncultured bacterium. RNAcentral's name for it is "partial 16S ribosomal RNA". It matches the Rfam family "Bacterial small subunit ribosomal RNA", at positions 524 to 776 of the family's 1533-position model. The record is from RNAcentral.